UCUGGGCCUUCACGCCGGCACCGAGAUUUUCUCGGGAAGGGCCUCAGAUCCCCGGACCAGUCUGGGACACAGGCAAGAUCCCCCUGCAUUUUGGGAGCAAAUUGGGCCCCCUGGUGGGACAGUGCUGUUGGUGCCCCCCGGGCUGGGGCACCCCAAGGACUCCAGCGCGCACCGAAAGGAUUAUUCGGGGAGAUCCUCGGGGUGCCCGGCCCUGGGGAGCUCCAAGCAAGGUCCCUGCAAUGGAUUCAGGCAUUGCUGAGAGUAUCCCAGGUGUACCUGUUCAUGCUAGACAUGGAGCUCUCUAAUGGGCUGUAAUUGGGUGAUAAAAGUGGUGCUCCAAGUGCCAAAGAAGUGUGGGAUUGGGAUUAAGAACUGAGCAGUGAUGGUACAAUUGGCUGUUUUCUCUUGAAUGUAAUGGUAAGAGCUGCAGGAGUGCAAGGUGUGUGUUCCAGUCCCCACCAUUUGGUUUGCACGUGUCCUGCUCAGACACAGGUCCAACUUCCUCAGUCCUUAACACAGUAGAGGGAGAAUUAAGGACUGGCACUGUUAAGGUGAUUGGUGUGACAGGGGUUAAACUGGGAAAACAUUGGGGAAUUCCUCAGUUUGUCUAUUAGCCCAACUUGCCCAAACCUGUGCUAGGAAGAGAUAGAGUGGAAAAGUUGAGGCAGAAAUGAAAUGGAAAAAUGGAGAUAUUGACACUGUAAUUGCUGAAACUAAAUGUGUCCAAGCAGCAGCUCUUGUUUUGCAGGGAAUAACUCCUGUCAGCAGCAAGGUCCCGACUGAAGUGGCAGCUGCAGUUGUUCCUGUGGUGUGGGCCAGUGGACUUGCAAGAGAGUGGAAGAGGGCAGAACCUGUAGGUAUUACCCCUAAUGUGGGAUCUCUCCUGAAUGUGAAUGCAAGAACCUGCCAGGAAAUCCAAUGGCCAAGAUGACUGAUGAGUGCAGGACCUGAGAGAACCACCUUGAAUGACAACCUCGAGCAGUUUCCAGUAUUGGAUUUAAAAGAUGGCCUUUGCUGCAUCUCCUUGAGCAAGGAAAGCCAAGAAACCUUUGCCUUUGAAGGAGAAAAUCUGGAAAGUGCGAAGAAAAGAAGCCCCCUGACUCCUCCCUGAGCCCCAGACAGCCCAUGAACUGCCUUCCUGGGAAUGGUAGGACGGGAUGGACUGUGGAUUGCUUGCUAUGGAUGUGUGGAACUCCAGGAACUCCUGGUGCCGCCUGGGCCGAUGGAUUGGACGCCCCAGCCCCUCCGUUCCUGCCCAGCCACUGGGGCCGUGUCGAGUGGUGGCACUGCCAGCCCUGCAGGUGAAGUGGGAAGGGCCUUUGCAGGUCUUGUGGGUCACAUUU
Molecule: long non-coding RNA, 1343 nt
Organism: Chiroxiphia lanceolata (lance-tailed manakin)
Lineage: Eukaryota; Metazoa; Chordata; Aves; Passeriformes; Pipridae
Exons: 3
Source: RefSeq, a predicted model, not a curated record